ACACGGGGGGCGCAAGCGUUAUUCGGAAUUAUUGGGCGUAAAGGGCGCGUAGGCGGUCUUGUCGGUCAGAUGUGAAAGCCCAGGGCUCAACCCUGGACGUGCAUUUGAAACAGCAAGACUUGAGUACGCGAGAGGAAAGCGGAAUUCCUGGUGUAGAGGUGAAAUUCGUAGAUAUCAGGAGGAACACCGAUGGCGAAGGCAGCUUUCUGGACCGAUACUGACGCUGAGGCGCGAAGGCGUGGGUAGCGAACAGGAUUAGAAACCCCAGUAGUCC
RNAcentral lists this ribosomal RNA (274 nucleotides) under uncultured bacterium. Its description in RNAcentral is "partial 16S ribosomal RNA". It matches the Rfam family "Bacterial small subunit ribosomal RNA", at positions 523 to 796 of the family's 1533-position model. The record is from RNAcentral.